Cervus elaphus (red deer) is the source of this 401-nucleotide long non-coding RNA. RefSeq lists it as uncharacterized. NCBI's taxonomy places the organism in Eukaryota, Metazoa, Chordata, Mammalia, Artiodactyla, Cervidae. The transcript is spliced from 2 exons. The record is from RefSeq and is a predicted model, not a curated record.
CUCUCUUACACCAGUACGGAGCGUAAGGCGGGGCGGGGCCGAGAGGGUGCCAAGGCCGAGAAGAGAGGCGCGCAAGACAAGAAAUGUUAUAACUGGAUCUCGAUCUGGAUGCUUGUCCUGCCUCCUGAAUAUUUCUCCUAUCGAAAACUCACCUAAAUCAGUAGUGCAACCUCCGCGGAGCAGCCGGUGCAUUCCCAAAGCACGCGAAGACCGCAAGCCCUUCAGCUGUAGACUUCCCUGAAGGCUGGAAAGAUAAGAUUCUCCAUGCAUCGUCCGACUUGUGAUUCUGUGAUUGUAUUUUUCACAUCCCAGUGGGAGACUUUAUUUUGGGGGGCUCCAAAAUCACUGCAGAUGGUGACUGCAGCCAUGAAAUUAAAAUACACUUGCUCUUUGAAAGAAAA